Molecule: ribosomal RNA, 253 nt
Filed under: uncultured bacterium
Lineage: Bacteria
Description: partial 16S ribosomal RNA
Rfam family: Bacterial small subunit ribosomal RNA
Source: RNAcentral
UACAGAGGGGGCAAGCGUUGUUCGGAAUUACUGGGCGUAAAGGGCUCGUAGGUGGCCAACUAAGUCAGACGUGAAAUCCCUCGGCUUAACCGGGGAACUGCGUCUGAUACUGGACGGCUUGAGUUUGGGAGAGGGAUGCGGAAUUCCAGGUGUAGCGGUGAAAUGCGUAGAUAUCUGGAGGAACACCGGUGGCGAAGGCGGCAUCCUGGACCAACACUGACACUGAGGAGCGAAAGCCAGGGGAGCAAACGGG